This 401-nucleotide ribosomal RNA is filed under the name uncultured bacterium. RNAcentral's name for it is "bacterial SSU rRNA". It matches the Rfam family "Bacterial small subunit ribosomal RNA", at positions 32 to 410 of the family's 1533-position model. The record is from RNAcentral.
AAUCAACGCUGGCGGCGUGCCUCAGACAUGCAAGUCGAACGCGAAAGGUUCCUUCGGGAGCCGAGUAGAGUGGCGCUCGGGUGAGUAACACGUAGGUAAUUUGCCUUUGGGUGGGGAAUAACAAUCGGAAACGGUUGCUAAUACCGCAUAAUGCAGCGGCUCGACAUCGAGACAGUUGUUAAAGCGGGGGAUCCUUCGGGACCUCGCGCCUAAAGAGAAGCCUGCGGCGGAUUAGCUAGUUGGUGAGGUAAUGGCUCACCAAGGCGACGAUCCGUAACCGGCCUGAGAGGGCGGACGGUCACACUGACACUUAAAUACGGGUCAGACUCCUACGGGAGGCAGCAGUCGGGAAUUUUGGGCAAUGGGCGAAAGCCUGACCCAGCAACGCCGCGUGAAGGAUG